Molecule: small nuclear RNA, 19 nt
Filed under: Arabidopsis thaliana (thale cress)
Lineage: Eukaryota; Viridiplantae; Streptophyta; Magnoliopsida; Brassicales; Brassicaceae
Description: snRNA_09398
Source: RNAcentral
ACCGAUAGCGAACAAGUAC